Molecule: ribosomal RNA, 301 nt
Filed under: uncultured bacterium
Lineage: Bacteria
Description: partial 16S ribosomal RNA
Rfam family: Bacterial small subunit ribosomal RNA
Source: RNAcentral
CAUCGCCGCGGUAAUACGAAGGGGGCUAGCGUUGCUCGGAAUGACUGGGCGUAAAGGGCGCGUAGGCGGAUUGCGCAGUCAGAUGUGAAAUUCCUGGGCUUAACCUGGGGGCUGCAUUUGAGACGCGUAGUCUAGAGUGUGAAAGAGGGUCGUGGAAUUCCCAGUGUAGAGGUGAAAUUCGUAGAUAUUGGGAAGAACACCGGUGGCGAAGGCGGCGACCUGGUUCAUAACUGACGCUGAGGCGCGAAAGCGUGGGGAGCAAACAGGAUUAGAUACCCCCGUAGUCCCUGUCUCUUAUACA